This is a long non-coding RNA of Numida meleagris (helmeted guineafowl), 3954 nucleotides long. Lineage: Eukaryota; Metazoa; Chordata; Aves; Galliformes; Numididae. The record is from Ensembl.
GCACCCCACCAGCAGCCAUGCAUGCAGCGGUCUGCACUCCUGGGGGGGGGACAGAGAGGGCAAGGGAAGGUGGGGACCACCCGGCUCAGCAGCAGUGAGUCAUUUGCUGAGCUCUCCUCCUGACCGCUGGGCAGUUAUUAUCGAUGCCACACAGCUGUAAAUGUUCUCUCUGCAGCUGGGACCUGGGAGCAGAGAGUGCGGCUCAGCUGAGUGUGUUAUUGGAUUAGCAGCUGAUUAGAGCUGUUAAGAGUCCACUCUUGAAUAAUCAACAUGGUGCUUUUUGGCUGCUGUGUAGCAGUGGGAGGAGGAAGGAGGCAGAGCAGCUUGGCUGACUGCUGUUGAAUCACAGCUGAGCCCUGGCCCUGCAGCUAUGGAUUCUCUUGCUGGAAGAGUUAAAACCUGGAGUAUCUCAACCAUGUGGGAAGACCGGAUGGUGUGUGGUGAGCUUGGUCCAUCGUGAGCCAGGGCAUAGUUCUCUGCUUUCCACUGAUAUCAAUGGCACGGCAACUGUGAGUGUGGGGAGAACUUGGUAUUACACGGAAUAAUGAUUCACAAGUGUGAUCACAUGUGCCCUGAUAUCCAAGGGCACUGAGUGAUUAGGGCUAAGGAGAUCUCUUGCUUACGCUUUCACUCCUUGUGUCUGAGAUCAGCAUUCUCCUUGCAAAGACCUCUAGGGGUCACAGUUGGAUUGUACAACAGGUUGUGAUCCCAUCCUUGGGAUAGGAAAUCAGAGCACACGCCACCCACCUCCUGCCAAACCAGCGGCUGGAAAGCCAGCAGGAUGCCAAGUGCCCACUGCCCAUGGGUCACUGCCUCCAACCCCACUCAGGAGUGGGUUCCAGCCCCUCCUCUGCCUCUUUCUGCCACCGAGAUCCAGAUGAUUCUCUGAGGAUUUAGUUCAUAACUUCAACACAGUGAAUCCAAAUGUGUUCUAGGCUGGAAAAGCCAGUUUCAAGUUUGUGCACAGAAGGGUAUGAGGAACAGUGCCAUAAAGAAGAAGGAGGAAGAGAAGAAAUUAGAAAAUGUGAGUUAUACAUACACAGUGCAAUCAAGGGAAGGGACAGAGACCUGUCACAAAAGGUUCACGCUGAAGAUUUCCAUCUCUGCGCAACAGAAAGUCUUCAGAUGAGCCCAAUCCAUUUCUGUCAUGAGGAGCAGCCUAGAAACAGCAUCACCUGUCUUCAUUUUGUGAGGGCCCUGCAGAUGCUUACCCACAGGAACACCCCAGUCACUGCCAGAGGUCCCUCCCCGUUCCAGCACUGCACUGCAAAGCAGGAUCUGGCCAUGAUGCUCAGCAAGAUGGAGCCCUUCCAUUAUGAGAUAAUUAAAUUGCCUGUAAUUAUGUUCUUGACAGUGAAAUAAAGGUGGUAAAUGAUCGUAAUGUUCUUCGCUUCCUUCUUCCUCCCAGGACCCCCCCAGCUGCCCCUCCCCUCUAAAUGCUGAAUUAUUUUACAGUUGAUAGUUCCUUAGAAUCGCCGACCUUUAAAAGCUGAACACUACAUGCCUGUUGAAUUUUAAUCAAUUUAUUUUUUUCAACUGGAAAUGUCAGACUUCUGUACGGAAUUACUUGGUGCCGGCUGAUGUGACAAAGACUCAAAGUUCAGCAUCUGAAGCCACGGAGGAGCAGAGAGUUGCGUGCAUUAGCACAGAUAAUUUGCAGGAUGUGAAAAUGAGAGCGGGAGUGAGGGAGCAUAUAUUUUUCAUUAGCUUUGGUUUAGAAGGUGCGAGGACCUGCAUUUAUUUCAUCCAGUGAACUCUGGCCUCAUUAAAUCCAGACCGUGGCCAGUAAUGACUGGAAGUAAGAAGCUGUGGAGGCCACCAAAGGGCAGGAAGUAAAGUGAGUUCUUCACGGGGUGAAACAUGGUGUACGUGUUGACAGGGGCAGUGCACAACCUCUGCUGUGCCCACCCCGCGGUGCCAAGCACUGCACAGUGGGUGCUGGUUGCCCAAACCAUCUGCCAGCCCACGCUGGCACAGUUCCUUAAUGCACACGGUAUCACCCAUUUUAGUCCAGAAGACCCGAAGAGCUCAGCAAACAUUUCAACUCCAGCAGAGCCUGUCUCUGUCCAAGCAAGAUGAAUAACUUUUCAGUAGCGUUGAGUUUGGCUGCCACUGUCUUGAAGGAUUAAGAAUUCCCCAACCGGAGUGAAGCCCAUGGGUAAAGAGAGGAAGAUGUUAACGUGGAAACAUUCCUGCAGGCUGGUUCCUGCUGCCAGAGAAGCCCAUGGCACUGAGAAUAGACCAAUGAGGAGCCCUCGAGUCCUUACUGGGAUUUGCUGGCCUUCACUGUAACUUCAGCAUCGCGUUUGUGAGCCAGGGUAAUGAGGGGAGCUGCUCUGCUUUCUUUCCAAGCAGGGAAUUUCUCUGAUGUCAUCAGAGGGCACAUUCAUCCUUCCCUGCAUCACCUACUUCCCUACCAUCAGUCAUUUCAGGAAUAAGUUAUCACCUCAUUUUCUUCUACCAGCAGCCUCUAGUGUUCCCCUGCAGUGCGGUAAUCUGUUCCAAUCCUGGACCAUGACACCUUACAAACAACUUUUUGUCCCAUUAAAAUUUAAUUCCUUCUUUGGAAUAGAGACUUCUCAUCACACAGAACCGGAUGGAUAAAUGUUUGCUAAGGUGACAAGGACUGAGUAUAUUUAAUCUUCCUUCCUUCUCUCUAAAAAACUGGGCCCGUCGUUGCCUCCUGGCACAGGUCCAUUAAAAUCAAUAAUGAACCUUACAAGUGGAUCUGGGCUAAAAUACGUCCUAUGCUUCUCCACUGAACUAUAAUAAGCACGUACCUAUGUGCAGCAAGAAUAAUGUGGGGAUUGUGUGUAGGUUCAAGGAAAGUCCCAGUGCUUUGGUCUUUCCUGGAGUGGAGGUGCACCUCAAAUCCAAGUAUUCUUCCAGUGUCCACUUUUGGACACUUGCCAAUGGAAAGGGUCAUUCUUUGUGCAUUGAUUCUAAACCCUCUCUAAAGCUUUGCAGUCUGCUGUCCAAGACUGAGUUCAAGGAACCUUUGGCACAGCACCAUAGACCACUUAUUAUGCCCUCAUUUCUCUGAAAUGGGUUUUAAUUGCAAAAUUAAAACCAUGGGCUGACAGCAGUUCUUUCUGGGGGAAAUGAGCCAGGUGAGAUGGGCUCCCAACUCCCAACUGGAGAAGCCCAACAGGGAGAUGCAGAAUUGAGUCACCAUGAUGGGGUGCACAGGACUGCCACCAAGAGAGUGUGGGCUCUGCGACAUAGACCAGCCAUGGUCUGAAGCAGGCUGAGGCAAAGAACUGAACCUGUUUGACAAGCCUCAGGUGGCCGUGCUAGUUAUUAAGAAACGUGUUUCCUGUACUAUGAACAUUCAGAUACUUCAUGGUUUUUCCAUUCAGAAGGAUGGAAAAUUCCUUUGAUUCCUUCGGAGUUCUAAGUUUUGCAAGCAGGGGAAUCAUUCCUGCUGCGUAGCUUUAUUUUUUUUUUUUCCAGUUUGGAAAUCCAGCUUCUCAAAGCCUCCCGUGCCAUCAGCCCAAGGAGAAGACAGUGAGCGUACGGAAGGCAGCCCAGCCCACACGUACUAACUCCUCAUCAGUAUUCCCUUUAAAGAAGGCAAAUGUUAUUAUCCUCUUUGCCAAGAGGGAGUGUGAACACAUCUGCUGCUCCACCCACCUUCUUGGCACACCCCCCCCCCAGCGCAAACUCCCACGGCUCACCCUCUGUCUCAGCUCAACAGCCCAUUACAAAUGGCUGUGUUUAAGCAAGGUCUUGCUCUUCAUUUAUAGCCCUCUCAGUCACUCGAUGGGUUGCUUCCCUGCCCUUUGCAGCCUCCGUUUGUAUCAGGUUAAGAAAAUGUCAAGCUCAUUUGGAAGUUCCUCACCCUUCCUUGCUUUGCUGCAGCCAUUAGUGGUCCUCUCCUUGCUGCUGGAAGCUGACAUUUACAUCAUGGGCUGGGGCGGAAAUAAUAGUAAUAAAGCCAAGCUUUGCUAAUCA